Molecule: non-coding RNA, 1161 nt
Organism: Meleagris gallopavo (turkey)
Lineage: Eukaryota; Metazoa; Chordata; Aves; Galliformes; Phasianidae
Source: RefSeq, a predicted model, not a curated record
AAGGAGCUUGAAGAACAGGUUAAGAUCCUCAACAUGCUGUAGUUUGAACUUAAAGCAUCCACAAGACCCUUAGCAUGUGUAUGCAAAUUGCUAAGUCGUGGCCUGAAGCAAUGAUUGAGCACCUGGUGGAGGGACAGCCAGCCCUGGGAGCACAGGUGAAAGCAAUUCACCUGCGUGACUGGAAGGGGCUAACCUAACCUAGCCUCAUUUAAGGGCUGGCUACCACAAAGGGCGUAUCUCUAUACGGAGCUCCCCUCUUCUGGAGUAUUUGGCCAUUCCAGCACCCGCUUUAUCUCCAGUGAUCUCUGACCCCUGCAUGUCAGGAGUUCAAUCUGAACACUGGAGCUCCUGGCUGCCUAUCGACUCCCCAACUUCAUUUAAGGAAAGUGCACAAGGGAACAGCUGAAAAUCAAGAUGCCUGAGGAUUUAAGAUAGGAAGAUCAGCAGCUUGUCCUGGUGGAGAAAAUGGACUGUUUGCAUCAAUCCUUCUCAGGAUGCUUUGGGGUGCAAUGUCUUGGUCACCCUUUAAAAAGGGGGAUCCAUUUAAAAAUUGCUUGCUCUGCACAGAAGAGCCCUGUAGGUAUUGUAAAAGAGGCACCCAAUGUCUCUCCUCUUCCAUGGUCUCUGUCCAAAGGAAGAGUCUAUAGGAACAUGCUGAGGUGCCCUAUUCCCAGACCCUACACUUCAGUCAUGGGGCAGUGCUGGGGGGGGGUCCUCAACCCAUUCCAAUGAGUGUGACCCAUUCCUUCUUGGGCCACCACAUCUUGAAGCCACCCCUUUUUUUAAGGCAUAGAUCUGCCUCUUGGUCAUCUCUUUUUGGCUCUGCACAAAAAAGUACAUGUGCCUCCUUUCUGCCCUUGCUCCUUUCCUUUUUAGAACAAGGACAGAAAUAAAAAGGGAAAAGCUUGCAGUGUCUCCAUGAGACAGCAGAGCUUUGAUAGGACAGCUUCCUAAGGAACAUUUAACCCAGCUUCAUUUUCUCAGAGAGGAAAACCCAAAGCUAACCCAGGAGCAGCCAUCUACCAAGUGAUACAGGGUGGGGAGACAGAAAUGCUCCUUUGGCACAGGACAUCCUGUGUCUGCCUCUGUGGAUCCAAUUCCCAUAGUGAUGGGGACCACAGGGUGGUUUGGUUGGAAUGCAAUUGGCUGUGAGUUUAAUUC